AGGUUGGACGUAAAAAAGCCUCGCGAUAAGAAUUAUCGCUCGAUAUUACGGAUUAACCGAGCAGAAAAGAUGACAAUAAGGAUUAAUCACUUUGUCAUUUAUAUUAUGUAUGUAUGCACAUAUAUAUAUAUAUAUAUAUAUAUAUAUGUACGUACUGUUUACAUGCAUAUACAAUGUAUUUUCACUGACAUUACGAAAGUACUUAUAUAUAAGCGGCUUUUCUAUUGUCAGCAAUUAUCCUACCAGAGACUACAAUGAAAAUUAUUUAUACUAAAUAGAUAUUUAGUAAAUAGAUCAUUAUUUUAUUUUUGCAGUAUUUGACUGUGAGAAACGUUGAAAGAUUAAAAAAUUCGAUUGGAACAAAGGAAAAUCUUUGGUGACAAAAGAAGAAACUUUCUCAAAGACGCAAAUCUUUUUUUCAUGCGUCAACUACUUACAUAAAUAUGCGUACAUAAAAAGUUCUUGGCCUCGGUAAUAAUAAUUCGCGAGCGUACGAUAAAUGACCUCGUCGACAGCAUCUCGGAGAGUUAUCAAUUGUUUUCAAACGAUACGAGAGACAUCGAGAAAGAGAGAGACGGUGAAAAAAAAACUGAUAUGGAAUAGUUCUUUGUUACUUUUUAUCGCUCUAUAAGCGAUCUCUGCAUUUUAUUCUCUCGUUAUGCAUUUAUCGUGUGCAUGUGUGUCGAAGAGAUUGAAAAGAAAACGGAGACGGUGAAAUUAAAGAAGGCGAAAGUUGAGCGAGAUUUUGUAAAAAAAAGAAUAAAGAAGAAUUAGAAAAAAGAUAAAUAAAAAAAACUAUAACGAGCCGCAAAAUAUCGAACACAACAUAAUACACAGGAUGGCGCGACGAGGCGACGCCGUUACGCGGAAAACAAAGAAUCGAAACGUUCCCUCGGCACUGGGUGUGGCGAGAGAGUAAUAUCAUCGUCGUUGGAUAUUACUCGAGAUAAAUCGAAGACGAAGGGGAUUUAACGGAAAAAUUGCUUGACCUCGUCGUUUACCCCUGUAAUGAACAUUCGUCGCAAUAAAUACGCUUCGAUCGCGUAUUUACUCUCGCAAUGUUAUUUAUAUAAGUAUAAGAAUCCUUUCAAAGUACUCUAUCGGAUCACGAAAUAAGACUGAAUAUACGAUGACGCCUUUUCGAUUUAAUUAAAAAAAAAGAUAUAAAAACGAUCAGAAAACGAUCUUGUCGGGGGCCUAUUUUCGAAGAAAUAUUUAUUCAUCUCUUACUUUUCUUAUCUAUAUAUGUAUCUUUUCUCUCUUCUUUUAUAUAUAUAUAUUUUUUUCUUUGUAAACACCGAUAAAAAAGAUAAUAUAAUGGGGAAAAAGAAGAAAAAAGAAAAAGAAAACCGUAGAACAGUUUGUCUCAUAGCUAAGAUGAAGAACGAUGGAGAGGAAAAUCUAAUAUGCGGGUAGUAAAAUUCGUGUUCUCUUUCGUGAAACUGUCAUGGCGUUUCGUUGGAAGAUUUCUCUUGCGCACGCGUGUGCGUGUAUAUACCGCGUGCGUGAGAAGGGGGUGCAGGAAGCACGGGUGUGGUUCGAUCAAUACGGACAUCCCAUAGAUCUAUCGGUAUACGAGCGCACAAUACACACAGACAGACCCCACACACAUUUAGAAGGAUACGGAGAGCCUCUGUCACCCAUAGGAUGACCGAAAAUUUGUCUGCCCUUUUUUUACGGGAUAAUACCAAAUGAAAGUUUAUCUUUUUAUAGGAAAAACUCGAUCUUAUCUCACGUAUAUGGUAUCGAUCGAUCUAAAUAUAUUCUGUUAUCGCAUACGUGCUUACAAGCAUAUUAAUUAUAAUUAUUAAAACAAUUGCGAUGACCAUUGAGUUAUGAUUGUAAGCAAGAUGUUCUAAAAAAAAGAAGAAGAAAAAUAUAUAUCUGAA
Long non-coding RNA from Vespa velutina, 1889 nucleotides. RefSeq lists it as uncharacterized. The transcript is spliced from 3 exons. Lineage: Eukaryota; Metazoa; Arthropoda; Insecta; Hymenoptera; Vespidae. The record is from RefSeq and is a predicted model, not a curated record.